Long non-coding RNA from Danio rerio (zebrafish), 1635 nucleotides. Lineage: Eukaryota; Metazoa; Chordata; Actinopteri; Cypriniformes; Danionidae. The record is from Ensembl.
GAUGCAUGUUCUGGACUGUCUGCUUACGAACUCAAGCGCCUUGAGAACAUCACGCACAAGGAAGCCUUCUUGUCGUCUCUGAAGAUAUGGCAAGUAUGUGGACAUUUUAGUAAAGGUAAAGGACUAAUCAGCUGUUUUCCAUUUCAUUUGCCCUCUCCCUACCUCAGUCUCCACCCUACUCUCCUCUUAGUCUCUUUUUCUCUUCCUCCUGCUCUUUCACUGUUGUCCCCCACUGUACGGUCCUUCUCUCCUUCUCCUUUCUUUCUUUUGUAUUCACUUGUUAUCUUACAGGUGUAACAUAGAUUUUAAAAAUAUAUAAAAUUAGAUUUUGGUGGGUUCUUGUAUUUUUUUUAACAAUGUAGUUUACAAAAUAUUGUAAUUUCUGUCUUCAUCCAUUAGCACACCUUUUAGUAUAAUUAUGGUUGCUGUCUAUACAGAAAAACAAGGAGAUAAUUAUUCUUCUUUGUCUCGCCCGCGCUCUCUCUCCCUCUCUCUCUCUCUCUCUCUCUCUCUCUCUCUCUCUCUCUCUCUCUCUCUCAAAAGGUAGUGGAGGAUCUGAGGCAGACAGUGAAGCCAAAGCCCAAUGUCAAAAGGUUAAUGGCUUCAUUGGAAGAAAAAUCUCUGCAGUCUCCCCGGAAAUCCCUCCGUUCUAAAAUAAAAAACCUCACCCCAAGUGAAGGGUUGACCCAUAAUCAACCUUGUGACUUUUAUUUUUCCAGGCUUUUAGGGGGUGAUCAGGUCUUAAGGACAUUGAAUCCAGAGAGGCAGAGGAAGACAUGGCAGGAAACACCAUGGGCAUCUACAAAGUACAAUCAGAGGAUCAUGAUGUCGGUGAUGGACGCUUCACUGAUGUCCGUGUUGUGCUGGAAGGUGUGGAGGUUCUCCACAACCUGCAGAAUGUCACUCAUGCAUGGGUUAUGUUAUAUGGCCUGAUCUACGCACUCAAUUUCAACUACCCUAAAAGCCUGAAGUGUACAUUUUGAGGUGUACCAGAAAAUCCUGAUGGACCUGGACUCAACCAAGCUUUCCCCGAAAGUACAGACACUGAAACUGAAAUUGCUCCAGUGAUUUGGCUAAAAAUAAUAACUUAUACAGCCCCUACCCAUUUUUUUUUCACAUUGUGCUCCAACCCAGAGAUAUGUUAAAAUGAUUUCCUAGUUCUAUAAUGAUAUGUUAAUUAGCAACUGAAAAUGGAUCUCUGAGUACAGUUUUAUUUUUUAUUAAUUUUUUUUUUGGGUGUCCAAGCAGUCAUGUGAUGUUCGAGUGUGGCUGUGUAAGUGGGUUCAUAUGGAUGGUUUCCUAAAUGUUGGCUGAUGUUAACUUGGCUAAAUCCAGAGUUUUGUAUGAAAGACAAAUAUAAAUAAAUCUGGAAUUUUCCAGUUGGUCUAAUUCAAUGUGAUGCAUUGUUUGAUUUGGUUUAGUAUAUAAGCAUACAUUAAACAUGAUUCAAAUAAAUGUUAUUUAUAUUUUUUAGUUACCCCGAUUUAGUUCUCUUAAUCAUUAUGCAAUUUAUACAAUAAACUUUAUUUUUUUAAAUAAAUACACUUUUUAUUAUUAAUUUAGAAUAAUUACACUUUACAUGAACUAAUUACGUAAACCUGAGGAUUAUGCAUUUAAAAUAAAUAGGUUUUAUUA